UGAGGAAUAUUGGUCAAUGGGCGAGAGCCUGAACCAGCCAAGUCGCGUGAAGGAAGACUGCCUUAUGGGUUGUAAACUUCUUUUAUACAGGAAUAAAAAGGCUUACGUGUAGGCCAUUGCAAGUACUGUAUGAAUAAGCAUCGGCUAACUCCGUGCCAGCAGCCGCGGUAAUACGGAGGAUGCGAGCGUUAUCCGGAUUUAUUGGGUUUAAAGGGUGCGCAGGCGGGCUUUUAAGUCAGCGGUGAAAUCUGGACGCUUAACGUCCAAACUGCCGUUGAAACUGGGAGUCUUGAGUAUGGAUGAAGUAGGCGGAAUUCGUUGUGUAGCGGUGACAUGCAUAGAUAUAACGAGGAACUCCGAUUGCGUAGGCAGCUUACUAAGCCAUAACUGACGCUCAUGCACGAAAGCGUGGGGAUCAAACAGGAUUAGAUACCCUGGUAGUCCACGCCGUAAAACGAUGAUUACUAGUUGUAUGCGAUAUGAUAGUAUGUGACUAAGCGAAAGCGAUAAGUAAUCCACCUGGGGAGUACGCCGGCAACGGUGAAACUCAAA
RNAcentral lists this ribosomal RNA (552 nucleotides) under uncultured bacterium. RNAcentral describes it as "partial 16S ribosomal RNA". It matches the Rfam family "Bacterial small subunit ribosomal RNA", at positions 355 to 905 of the family's 1533-position model. The record is from RNAcentral.